AUUGAACGCUGGCGGCAGGCCUAACACAUGCAAGUCGAACGAGUAGCGGACGGGUGAGUAAUGUCUGGGAAACUGCCUGAUGGAGGGGGAUAACUACUGGAAACGGUAGCUAAUACCGCAUACCAUCAGCAGUGCCCAGAUGGGAGUAGCUUGUUGGUGGGGUAACGGCUCACCAAGGCGCCGAUCCCUAGCUGGUCUGAUAGGAUGACCAGCAACACUGGAACUGAGACACGGUCCAGCCUCCACAGGAAGGCAGCAGUGGGGAAGAUUGCACAAUGGGCGCAAGCCGGAUGCAGCCAUGCCGCGUGUAUGAUGAAGGCCUUCGGUUUGUUAAGGACUUUCAGCGGGGAGGCGUUACUCGCAGAAGAAGCACCGGCUAACUCCGGGCCAGCAGCCGCGGUAAUUC
RNAcentral lists this ribosomal RNA (406 nucleotides) under uncultured bacterium. RNAcentral's name for it is "partial 16S ribosomal RNA". It matches the Rfam family "Bacterial small subunit ribosomal RNA", at positions 30 to 526 of the family's 1533-position model. The record is from RNAcentral.